GUCAAUAUAGUUUAAUAAAAACGUCAGACUGUGAAUCUGAAGACAGGGUAUGGACCCCCUUAUUUAC
RNAcentral lists this transfer RNA (67 nucleotides) under Anteliomys chinensis (Sichuan red-backed vole). RNAcentral describes it as "tRNA-His". It matches the Rfam family "tRNA". Rfam says of the family: Transfer RNA (tRNA) molecules are approximately 80 nucleotides in length. Their secondary structure includes four short double-helical elements and three loops (D, anti-codon, and T loops). Lineage: Eukaryota; Metazoa; Chordata; Mammalia; Rodentia; Cricetidae. The record is from RNAcentral.